UACGUAGGGGGCAAGCGUUGUCCGGAAUCAUUGGGCGUAAAGAGCGUGUAGGCGGCCCGGUAAGUCCGCUGUGAAAGUCCAGGGCUCAACCCUGGGAUGCCGGUGGAUACUGUCGGGCUCGAGUCCGGAAGAGGAGUGUGGAAUUCCUGGUGUAGCGGUGAAAUGCGUAGAUAUCUGGAGGAACACCGGUGGCGAAGGCGGCAUCCUGGACCAACACUGACACUGAGGAGCGAAAGCCAGGGGAGCAAACGGG
This 253-nucleotide ribosomal RNA is filed under the name uncultured bacterium. Its description in RNAcentral is "partial 16S ribosomal RNA". It matches the Rfam family "Bacterial small subunit ribosomal RNA", at positions 524 to 776 of the family's 1533-position model. The record is from RNAcentral.